RNAcentral lists this transfer RNA (76 nucleotides) under Planctomycetaceae bacterium. RNAcentral describes it as "tRNA-Asn". It matches the Rfam family "tRNA". Rfam says of the family: Transfer RNA (tRNA) molecules are approximately 80 nucleotides in length. The record is from RNAcentral. RNAcentral also lists the same sequence under 1 other name. Lineage: Bacteria; Pseudomonadati; Planctomycetota; Planctomycetia; Planctomycetales; Planctomycetaceae.
AGGGGUGUAGCUCAAUUGGUAGAGUGUCCGACUGUUAAUCGGAAGGUUGGUGGUUCGAGUCCACCCGCCCCUGCCA